UGCUGUUUUUACUAGGCCGCAUCACUUACAGUGAAAUGACAUCUUUCCACUUUUUUGGUUUGUUAUCCCCACAAAGAUUCAAGUUUUUUUUAAAGUAUUUUAACGUAUUGGCGCACAGGUGUAUCAAAUUACAAGGACAACCUUUAAAAAUUAUUUAUGAGGUUUGUUGGUGUUUGAAAAUUUUCGGGUACGAUUGAUUUUUACUUACAUGUUGAUGAGGUAAGCGUGUGACGGGUAUACAUACUUUUUUUAUUUAAAUAAAGAAAGUUAUAUUAGUUAAUUCUAGUCUGUUGUAUGUCAUAUCAAAUAUCUUCUUGAAGUAUAUAACAAAGUGAUUAUAACAUGACCUUGAUCAAUCCUCAGCAAAGCUCCCGGAAUUAUAUUAUUGUGUUGGGUUGAUACAGAUGUGAUAUUGCAAGCCCUAAUCAUUGAUGAUAAUCUCUAUUGUUUCUUUGAAAGCCAGAAAAAAUGACAUAACACAUAGCUUAUGUCGCAAUAUUGUGUGUUAAUGCUGGACAAACCAAUCAAAAUAAUGAGGGUUAUUUCAAUUUCAAUAGUUAAACAUUGACACGCUAAGAAAGAGGUGAGGGGGGAAACAAAAAGGGUAUAAGUAAAGAAAAACGCCGUGUCAAAACAUCUAAUAAUGUUAAAAGACAAAUUCCUCCGGAAAACAUCUAAUAAUGUUAAAAGACAAAUUCCUCCGGAAAACACUACAUUAUUUUAUACUAAAAAUGUGCAACACUUAUAUUGAUCUCUGCUGUUUCAUUAUAUGUUGUGUUCAUUU
This 784-nucleotide long non-coding RNA is filed under the name Mytilus galloprovincialis (Mediterranean mussel). The record is from RNAcentral. Lineage: Eukaryota; Metazoa; Mollusca; Bivalvia; Mytilida; Mytilidae.